CGGGGUGCAGCAGGCGCGAAAACUCUACAAUGCAGGCAACUGCGAUAGGGGAACAUCGAGUGAUCCUCAUAUUGGGGGUCCGUCCACUCGCCUAAAAAGCGGGUGUUAGCAAGGGCCGGGCAAGACCGGUGCCAGCCGCCGCGGUAAUACCGGCGGCUCGAGUGGUGGCCGAUAUUAUUGAGUCUAAAGGGUCCGUAGCCGGCUUUGCAAGUCUCUCGGGAAAUCCAGCGGCUUAACCGUUGGUCGUCCGGGGGGUACUACAUUGCUUGGGACUGGGAGAGGUAGGAGGUACUCAGGGGGUAGGAGUGAAAUCCUGUAAUCCUUUGGGGACCACCGGUGGCGAAGGCGUCCUACCAGAACAGGUCCGACGGUGAGGGACGAAAGCUAGGGGCACGAACCGGAUUAGAUACCCGGGUAGUCCUAGCCGUAAACGAUGCUCGCUAGGUGUCACAACAGUCGUGAACUGUUGUGGUGCCGUAGGGAAGCCGUGAAGCGAGCCACUUGGGAAGUACGACCGCAAGGUUGAAACUUAAAGGAAUUGGCGGGGGAGCACAAGGGCGAAUU
RNAcentral lists this ribosomal RNA (564 nucleotides) under uncultured archaeon. RNAcentral's name for it is "bacterial SSU rRNA". It matches the Rfam family "Archaeal small subunit ribosomal RNA", at positions 326 to 894 of the family's 1478-position model. The record is from RNAcentral.